This 440-nucleotide ribosomal RNA is filed under the name uncultured bacterium. RNAcentral describes it as "bacterial SSU rRNA". It matches the Rfam family "Bacterial small subunit ribosomal RNA", at positions 338 to 795 of the family's 1533-position model. The record is from RNAcentral.
CCUACGGGCUGCACCAGUCGGGAAUUUUGCGCAAUGGGCGAAAGCCUGACGCAGCAACGCCGCGUGAGGGAUGAAGGCCUUCGGGUUGUAAACCUCUUUUCUCAGGGACGAUGAUGACGGUACCUGAGGAAUAAGCCACGGCUAACUACGUGCCAGCAGCCGCGGUAAUACGUAGGUGGCAAGCGUUGUCCGGAUUUACUGGGCGUAAAGAGCGCGCAGGCGGUCGUUCAAGUCGAGUGUGAAAGCCCCCGGCUCAACUGGGGGGGGUCACUCGAUACUGAUCGACUCGAAGGCAGGAGAGGGAAGUGAAAUUCCCGGUGUAGUGGUGAAAUGCGUAGAUAUCGGGAGGAACACCAGUGGCGAAGGCGACUUCCUGGCCUGUUCUUGACGCUGAGGCGCGAAAGCUAGGGGAGCAAACGGGAUUAGAUACCCGGGUAGUC